RNAcentral lists this ribosomal RNA (482 nucleotides) under uncultured bacterium. Its description in RNAcentral is "partial 16S ribosomal RNA". It matches the Rfam family "Bacterial small subunit ribosomal RNA", at positions 30 to 507 of the family's 1533-position model. The record is from RNAcentral.
AUUGAACGCUGGCGGCAUGCUUUACACAUGCAAGUCGAACGGUAACAGGCCGCAAGGUGCUGACGAGUGGCGAACGGGUGAGUAAUGCAUCGGAACGUGCCCAGUCGUGGGGGAUAACUACUCGAAAGAGUAGCUAAUACCGCAUACGAUCUAUGGAUGAAAGCGGGGGACCGUAAGGCCUCGCGCGAUUGGAGCGGCCGAUGUCAGAUUAGGUAGUUGGUGGGGUAAAGGCUCACCAAGCCAACGAUCUGUAGCUGGUCUGAGAGGACAACCAGCCACACUGGGACUGAGACACGGCCCAGACUCCUACGGGAGGCAGCAGUGGGGAAUUUUGGACAAUGGGCGCAAGCCUGAUCCAGCAAUGCCGCGUGCAGGAAGAAGGCCUUCGGGAUGUAAACUGCUUUUGUACGGAACGAAACGGCUCUGGUUAAUACCCGGGGCUAAUGACGGUACCGUAAGAAUAAGCACCGGCUAACUACGUG